This 572-nucleotide long non-coding RNA is filed under the name Homo sapiens (human). Its description in RNAcentral is "non-protein coding lnc-SGTA-1:1". Lineage: Eukaryota; Metazoa; Chordata; Mammalia; Primates; Hominidae. The record is from RNAcentral.
GUCUGUGGGGUCGAGACUGCGCGGCCGUUGGGCGUGCAGCGGCGCCAGUCGGCGGACGAGGGGCCCCCGGGAGGGUCUCACAAUACAUUGUCUGCAGAUUGAGGAGCAAAGAGAGCCAGUCCGAGUUCCAAAACUGAAGAACUGGCCAGGUGCAGUGGCUCACGCCUAUAAUCCUAGCACUUUGGGAGGCCGAGGCAGGCGGAUCACGAGGUCAGGAGUUCGAGACCAGCCUGGCCAACAUGAUGAAACCUCGUCUCUACUACAAAUACAAAAAAAAUUAGCUGGGAGUGGUGGCGCGUGUCUGUAAUCCCAGCUACUAGGCAGGAGAAUUGCUUGAAUCCAGGAAGCGGAGGUUGCAGUGAGCGGAGAUUGCACCAUUGCACUCCAGCCUGGCAACAGAGCGAGACUCUGUCUAAAAAAAAAAAAAGAAAAAAGAAAGAAAGCUAAUGCAGUGCCCCUGAUGUUCACAGUUGCUGGACUGAGACAUGAGCCUCCAACUGUGUGGUUGGGCUCGGUAGCACAUCGUGGGACUUGGGUGUGCGCCCACAGAUGGUUUGGCCCUGCAGUGACCA